This is a long non-coding RNA of Dreissena polymorpha, 1037 nucleotides long. RefSeq lists it as uncharacterized. The record is from RefSeq and is a predicted model, not a curated record. The transcript has 3 exons. Lineage: Eukaryota; Metazoa; Mollusca; Bivalvia; Myida; Dreissenidae.
CUUUUUAUGUCCCCCACUAUAGUAGUGGGGGACAUAUUGUUUUUGCCCUGUCUGUUGGUCUGUCUGUUGGUCUGUUGGUCUGUCUGUUUGCGCCAACUUUAACAUUUUGCAAUAACUUUUGCUAUAUUGAAGAUAGCAACUUCAUAUUUGGCAUGCAUGUGUAUCUCAUGAAGCUGCACAUUUUGAGUGGUGAAAGGUCAAGGUCAAGGUCAUCCUUCAAGGUCAGAGGUCAAAUAUAUGUGGCCAAAAUCGCUCAUUUUAUGAAUACUUUUGCAAUAUUGAAGAUAGCAACUUGAUAUUUGGCAUGCAUGUGUAUCUCAUGGAGCUGCACAUUUUGAGUGGUAAAAGGUCAAGGUCAAGGUCAUCCUUCAAGGUCAGAGGUCAAUUAUAUGUGGCCAAAAUCGCUCAUUUUAUGAAUACUUUUGCAAUAUUGAAGAUAGCAACUUGAUAUUUGGCAUGCAUGUGCAUCUCAUGGAGCUGCUCAUUUUGAGUGGUGAAAGGUCAAGGUCAUCCUUCAAGGUCAGAGGUCAAAUAUAUGUGGCCCAAAUUGCUUAUUUUAUGAAUACUUUUGCAAUAUUGAAGAUAGCAACUUGAUAUUUGGCAUGCAUGUGUAUCUCAUGGAGCUGCACAUUUUGAGUGGUGAAAGGUCAAGGUCAAGGUCAUCCUUCAAGGUCAGAGGUCAAAUAUAUGUGGCCAAAAUCGCUCAUUUUAUGAAUACUUUUGCAAUAUUGAAGAUAGCAACUUGAUAUUUGGCAUGCAUGUGUAUCUCAUGGAGCUGCACAUUUUGAGUGGUCAAGGUCAAGGUCAUCCUUCAAGGUCAGAGGUCAAAUAUAUGUGGCCCAAACCGCUUAUUUUAUGAAUACUUUUGCAAUAUUGAAGAUAGCAACUUGAUAUUUGGCAUGCAUGUGUAUCUCAUGGAGCUGCACAUUUUGAGUGGUGAAAGGUCAAGGUCAAGGUCAUCCUUCACAAGGUCAAGGUCAUCCUACAAUGUCAAACAUCAUAUAGGGGGACAUUGUGUUUCACAAACACAUCUUGUU